AUUGAACGCUGGCGGCAGGCUUAACACAUGCAAGUCGAGCGGAGCGAGGGUGCUUGCACCUUAGCUUAGCGGCGGACGGGUGAGUAAUGCUUAGGAAUCUGCCUAUUAGUGGGGGACAACAUUCCGAAAGGAAUGCUAAUACCGCAUACGCCCUACGGGGGAAAGCAGGGGAUCUUCAGACCUUGCGCUAAUAGAUGAGCCUAAGUCGGAUUAGCUAGUUGGUGGGGUAAAGGCCUACCAAGGCGACGAUCUGUAGCGGGUCUGAGAGGAUGAUCCGCCACACUGGGACUGGGACACGGCCCAGACUCCUACGGGAGGCAGCAGUGGGGAAUAUUGGACAAUGGGCGGAAGCCUGAUCCAGCCAUGCCGCGUGUGUGAAGAAGGCCUUUUGGUUGUAAAGCACUUUAAGCGAGGAGGAGGCUACUUAGAUUAAUUCUCUGGGAUAGUGGACGUUACUCGCAGAAUAAGCACCGGCUAACUCUGUGCCAGCAGCCGCCGUAA
RNAcentral lists this ribosomal RNA (501 nucleotides) under uncultured bacterium. Its description in RNAcentral is "partial 16S ribosomal RNA". It matches the Rfam family "Bacterial small subunit ribosomal RNA", at positions 30 to 523 of the family's 1533-position model. The record is from RNAcentral.